GUGGGAGGGGGCUUGCCCCCGAUGGCGGUGGACCAGUCAAUGAAUCUGUUGACUGACACUCCUUCAUCGGGAGCAAGCCCCCUCCCAC
RNAcentral lists this non-coding RNA (88 nucleotides) under Pseudomonas sp. SJZ103. Lineage: Bacteria; Pseudomonadati; Pseudomonadota; Gammaproteobacteria; Pseudomonadales; Pseudomonadaceae. The record is from RNAcentral.